CCAUUGGCCUGUCUCCUAACCCUCUUGUCCUGGCACCAGGGGUGGCAAACGAAGAGGGAACAACCUCCUCCAUCCGUCUCUCUCUGGGCAUCCUGCCCUGCCCAGGGACUGGCAUGGGGCAAUACCCGCAGUGUCCCCCAACUCAAGGCCUCCAGGGUUGACCCCAAAGAGCCCCCUUAGCGGGAAGGAGGUUUGGGUACAUCUACAUCCAUCCUACCUUCUGGAGAGGCAUGCGGAGGUUCCAGAGAGGGGAAACUGCGGCAGAAGAGAGCCAAAGUCACAGUAUGGACCGCCUCACCCCUCCCAAGUGUCCCACCCUUAAUGCCCCCCAGUACCCCCACCACCCGGCUCCUGGCCUACUCCCCAUCCUCCGUGGCAACCACGCCCAGACAGAGGAUCCAGCUGGAACAAUGACGGGGGCCUGCCCAGCCAGCCCCAGCUGCUUCCUUUUCAGUGGCCCUGUGCCCCCUGCCAGAUCCUGCCUGGGGGAACUGGAGUCUGGGUCCACGAUGGAAAUCUGCCCUUGAAGAACUGCCCCCAGGGAUGGAUUCCAGUGCUAUGCUCCACGUAGCACCUUCCCUACCCCACUUCCUACUCCUCAAGCCCCUCUAGGUCCUGGUGACAUCCACUCCUCCAGCCAGCCCUCCCAGCCUGCUGGCACUUGCUCCCUACUGUUUCCCAUGGGGUUGGGCAGUGGGAUCUGGCUGCCUAGGUUCAGAUCCAGGCCUCACCUCUUUCUGCCUGUAUUCCCCCCCACCCUCGCCCCCGGCAGCUUGGUUAACCAUUCAGAGCCUCAGUGUCCCCAUCUGUCAAACGAGGGUAGCUUUGAAAACCUAUGGCAUGAGACUUUGAUGAUGCUGAAAGGUCAUAUGUGCAAACUGGGUAGAAGAACCCUAGGCCUGUUGCUAGAGCCACACCGGCUCCUCACGUGUGCCAAGCUGCUUCAGUGGUGUCCGAUCCUUUGUGAACCCGUGGACUGUAGCCCACCAGGCUUCUCUGUCCAUGGGGAUUCUGCAGGCAAGAAUACAGGAGUGGGUUGCCAUGUCCUCCUCCAGAGGAUCUUCCUGACCCAGGGAUCAAACUCAAGUCUCUGACAUCUCCUACAUUGGCAGGCAGGUCCUUUACCACUAGCGUCACUUGGGAAGACCUUAUACUGGCCCCUCACUAAACCCCAAACACACCCGGCAUGCUCCUACCUCUAGGCUUCCCACUGGAUGUUCCUUCCAGAUGUCCCCACGGCUCCCUCCUCCCUUUACUCACAUCUGUGCUAGUGUGCCGCCUCCUCAGAAGGACCCUCCCAAGCCAUCGCCAGGCUGUUUGCCAUCACUCGUUUGUCACCACCUGGCAUUAUAUUACUUACCCGAGCUUAGGCUCCGCAACCCAAGGGCCCUGGCUUCACAGUUAUUGGCUGUGUGACCUUGGGCAUGUUACUUAACUUCUCUGAACUUCAAUCCCCUCAUUUUUAAAAUGGGGAUAGUAAUAAACUGGUCUCAUACAACUGUUGGGUGAAUAAGUGACUUAGCAGAUGGAACACCUUCAGAACAGUGCGUGGCCCACACUAGGUGGUAUUCCCAAAACUAAUUUUGUUUCUCUUAUUUUUGAGUACC
Long non-coding RNA from Bos taurus (domestic cattle), 1607 nucleotides. Lineage: Eukaryota; Metazoa; Chordata; Mammalia; Artiodactyla; Bovidae. The record is from Ensembl.